This 239-nucleotide long non-coding RNA is filed under the name Elaeis guineensis (African oil palm). RNAcentral's name for it is "long non-coding RNA (EGUI_LNC010851)". The record is from RNAcentral. Lineage: Eukaryota; Viridiplantae; Streptophyta; Magnoliopsida; Arecales; Arecaceae.
CCACGACCUCGACCUCUAUAUGAUCUUCUACCUCUUCCACCAUAAUUUUCUGAUUCAUUGUUAGAUCUACCUUUGCCUCCAUAAUUUCCUCUACCACCACCAUGACCUCGUCGUUCUCCUCUGCCAUGAGAUCUAUUUUCAGAAGACUGUUGUCUGCCAUCUUCUUUCUGUUCAUCUUUGAUUGAAACUUGAGAUUGGAAGACUUUAUUUAACGGCUUUUCUUUUAACUUCUCAUUAAG